RNAcentral lists this ribosomal RNA (463 nucleotides) under uncultured bacterium. RNAcentral's name for it is "partial 16S ribosomal RNA". It matches the Rfam family "Bacterial small subunit ribosomal RNA", at positions 28 to 507 of the family's 1533-position model. The record is from RNAcentral.
GAUGAACGCUGACAGAAUGCUUAACACAUGCAAGUCUUUGGCGAAGCUGUGCUUGCACAGCCUAGCCAAGGCGGACGGGUGAGUAACGCGUAAGGAACUUGCCCUGCAGUCAGGGAUAACAGACGGAAACGACUGAUAAGACCUGGUAAAGUCAGGCGGACUCAUGUCCAGCCUGAUGAAAAGAGAUGCUGCAGGAGAGCCUUGCGUCCUAUUAGCUUGUUGGUGGGGUAACGGCCCACCAAGGCGAUGAUUGGUAGCCGGCCUGAGAGGGUGGACGGCCACAAGGGGACUGAGAUACGGCCCUUACUCCUACGGGAGGCAGCAGUGGGGAAUAUUGGACGAUGGGGGCAACCCUGAUCCAGCAAUUCUGUGUGCACGAUGAAGGUUUUCGGAUUGUAAAGGGCUUUCAGCAGGGAAGAAAAAAAUGACGGUACCUGCAGAAGAAGCGACGGCUAAAUACGUG